Lepus europaeus (European hare) is the source of this 1080-nucleotide long non-coding RNA. RefSeq lists it as uncharacterized. The record is from RefSeq and is a predicted model, not a curated record. The transcript is spliced from 4 exons. Lineage: Eukaryota; Metazoa; Chordata; Mammalia; Lagomorpha; Leporidae.
GCGAGGAGCUGAGAGCAGGCGAUGCCAGCGCGGAAGCGAGCUGUCAGAACCCGGGAGGAGGCGAGGAAGACGUGGGAAAGUGCAGUGUCAUGGAGACCCAGGCAGGAGGCGUGGCCAGCCGGGCGCCGGGAGGCAGGAAACUGUCUACGGUCACCUGGAACCUGUUCUCCUAGCUCGACAUGUACAAGAGGGCCAGUCCUGCGUGAUGACCUAGGAUUGGCUCUGAGGACGAGGGCAUGUGCACGAAGCUCGGGAUCCGGCUGCAGCUGCACGGCCACCCUGAGGGCUGCUCCCUGGCUCAUGACAGGCUCUGAAAGGACCCCGGCCUUCAGCUAAUGGGACUAUGCAGACCAGCUCUGCCACCCCUGCCUAUGCCGCUCACCACUGAAGCUCCCCGAGCCUCCAGUUUCUCAUCCGCAAAAUGGGUCCAAGUUGUCACUGGAGUGUCGUCCUGUUGGCUGGUUGAAUACCAAAACGAAUACUUGUGUGGGAAGCCAGGAGCCUCAGCAGCCCCCUACUCAGGAUGUCAGGAGCAGCGGUAGCAGACAGUCUCUCUGACCACACACCCAGCCUUCAAGACAGAGCUCCGUGAACAGUUCGUGCUUAUUGAGGCCCUACUAAGUGCCGGGAACCAUGCUAAGCAUUUUACGUGUGUUACUCCCUGAAUGCGCAGAGCAGCCCAUCAAGGUUGGUACUGUGAGCACCCCAUCUUAGAGAUGAGGUAACUGAGGCUGGCACAGCCAGACACAGGGAGCUGUUAUUGGCAGGGCUGGGUUCAAAACCAGGGCUGCUGACUCUGUACCCUGCAUGAGCCUCCAACACCCCCUAGGAAGUAAAAAGCUCCAUGCACCCAAGAUGCAAUUCACGAGCAGACUCCACGCAGGUUCCCUCUGCUCGCGUGUACGGCACCCCGGUCUGCAUCUCGCUCCAGGGCUGCGGUCAUUGCUCCGCACAGGAAUGGCCUAUGCAGAGCAGUAAGUGUUGACUAAAGGUGAAGGAAUGAAUGAAACAGGUAAAUAACACAGCAGGAAGCCCGUGACAAACUGCAAAAGAGGGAUCUGAGCAAAGGGCAAGGUAUUU